RNAcentral lists this ribosomal RNA (406 nucleotides) under uncultured bacterium. Its description in RNAcentral is "bacterial SSU rRNA". It matches the Rfam family "Bacterial small subunit ribosomal RNA", at positions 355 to 758 of the family's 1533-position model. The record is from RNAcentral.
UGAGGAAUAUUGGUCAAUGGGGGCAACCCUGAACCAGCCAAGUCGCGUGAAGGAUGAAGGUCUUAUGGAUUGUAAACUUCUUUUAUACAGGAAUAAAUUGGGGGACGUGUCCCCUUUUGCAUGUACUGUAUGAAUAAGGAUCGGCUAACUCCGUGCCAGCAGCCGCGGUAAUACGGAGGAUCCGAGCGUUAUCCGGAUUUAUUGGGUUUAAAGGGUGCGCAGGCGGGAUGUUAAGUCGGCGGUGAAAUUUUGCAGCUCAACUGGAAAAGUGCCUUCGAUACUGGCUUCCUUGAGUGUGGAUGAGGUAGGCGGAAUUUGUGGUGUAGCGGUGAAAUGCUUAGAUAUCACGAGGAACUCCGAUUGCGCAGGCAGCUUACUAAGCCACAACUGACGCUCAUGCACGAAG